RNAcentral lists this ribosomal RNA (350 nucleotides) under uncultured bacterium. RNAcentral describes it as "bacterial SSU rRNA". It matches the Rfam family "Bacterial small subunit ribosomal RNA", at positions 43 to 388 of the family's 1533-position model. The record is from RNAcentral.
GAAUUCGAUUCAGGCCUAACACAUGCAAGUCAAGCGCGAAAGUUCUUCGGAAUGAGUAAAGAAAAGGACGGGUGAGUAACGCGUGGGAAUCUGCCUAGUAGUGGGGGACAACAGCCGGAAACGGCUGCUAAUACCGCAUACGCCCUACGGGGGAAAGGGGGGGAUCUUCGGACCUCUCGCUAUUAGAUGAGCCCGCGUCGGAUUAGCUAGUUGGUAGGGUAAAGGCCUACCAAGGCUACGAUCCGUAACUGGUCUGAGAGGAUGAUCAGUCACACUGGAACUGAGGCACGGUCCAGACUCCUACGGGAGGCAGCAGUGGGGAAUAUUGGACAAUGGGGGCAACCCUGAUC